Molecule: long non-coding RNA, 348 nt
Filed under: Cyanistes caeruleus (blue tit)
Lineage: Eukaryota; Metazoa; Chordata; Aves; Passeriformes; Paridae
Description: lncRNA (ENSCCEG00000019309.1)
Source: RNAcentral
AUGCUGUGUAUCCCAUCUCAGCUCUUUGCCAUGGAAACUAUGCUAAGGAGCCAGAAGAGCUACUAUCCCUGCAGCAGCAGCCACCAGCAGGACAAAAAGAAUGCUUCAAGAGGGCUGCCACAAAAAGGGACUGAGCCUGCAGCUCUUCCCUACUGCACUGUAAACUUGAUUCUCCAAAAACCCAUGAGAAGCUUCUGGCUAGUCCUGUUUUGGCUACAGUCCCCCAGUUUAUACAGUACAGAGGUGAAUUCACAUCCAGGAGGAGGGACUGGUAUGACUCCUUACAGUCACUUCCAACUGAAACAUUGUGUGCAGCCUUCAGAUGCCUGGGCUCACAACCACUCCUAA